Gallus gallus (chicken) is the source of this 8201-nucleotide long non-coding RNA. RefSeq lists it as uncharacterized. The transcript is spliced from 3 exons. The record is from RefSeq and is a predicted model, not a curated record. Lineage: Eukaryota; Metazoa; Chordata; Aves; Galliformes; Phasianidae.
GGUGAGGUGAGGCGGGAAGGGGCGAGCGGUGCGCUGAGGUGAGGUGGGGGUUGGCGGGAGGUGAGCGGCUGAGGGGGCGGGGAGGGCGCGAGCCGGGCGGCGCGGAGCCGCGUCCCGCCGGGCGGGGGGAGGGGGAAUCUGUGAGGGAAGGGGCGGAGGGGCGGGGCGGUCUGUGAGGUUCUGCCGGGGGGGGCACCGCCGCCCCCCGCUCCGUUCUCCGGCCGCUCCCGGGCGGCGGGCUCGGGUCCCCAGACCCCCCGCCCGUGAGCCCCGCGGGAGGCGGGCGGCUGGGGCGGACGGGGCUCCGCCGUGGCCGGCACGGAGCGCGUCCCGCCGCGCCGGGGGCGGAGGAGCGCGAUGGCGGGAGCGGCGUUUCCCUGCGCUCCCCGGGGAGGAAGCGGCCGGCGGCCACACGGCGCUGCCCGGGACGCGGCCCGGCCCUGCGAGGCGCUCCGCGGGGAGCCCGACCCGGCCCCGCCGCCCUCCCGGCGUCCUGCGGGCAGCCCCGCCGCGGGUCUGGCCGUGCUCGGGGCCGGCUGACCGCUCGCUCUGCCCUCUCGCCCGGCUCCUGGAGCGUUACCGUCCUUUCGAACCGUAGCGCGGCGCUGGCGCUGUGGUUUGAGCCGCUGCUUCGGGACACCUUCGGAGUCUGGUGCGAAGCUCUUCGUUUGUUUAACUCUUGGCAGCCUCUCGUGUGAGAUGUUGAGGAUGCAGCAUCCUGACCGUCCCAGCCAGGACAGCAGGGGGGUGCUGGGGUUGCACGGGGGACUUACAGCCUGCCGAGCUGCCGGCCUCGCUUUUCCUUCUGUCUGUGAGUGCUUUCGUCCACCGCGCUUCAUGAACACAAAUCCUGGGUUCUCAGAUCCGUGCUGUACGACAUUAGGAGCUUCUCAAAGCGUCACUUGGGUACAUGUUCUCUAACGUACCCAUAGGCACAGACCCGCUCCGGGUGCUCUUUCUCUCUCUCUGGUACCCAUUGACACCCCUCACAGGUUUCAAACCCGGAGCGUGUCACAGAAGUCCCGGUUCCCUUGUCCCUCAUCUACUGGUUUGUCAAACAGAAUCACAUCGGCUGCUGCGGAGCCAAGAAUUGCUUUAUAGUUUUAUCACAGAACUUUUGCUCUCUUAGCAGAAGACAUUGUAGAACUGAUUUUACCUUCGUUUCUCAAGGAAGCAGGGAGUAAAGCGGCAGUGGAAGCACUGUAUUCGUUACUCGGAACAGGCCUUAUUCCUGUAGAGCAUUGCAGCACUCCUAAACACACACAUGAGUAAGCGUAGUACUUCAUACAAUCAGCUGUGGGAAAGGUUAGCUUGGGCCUGUUAGGACUUAAUUAAGGCUGUUUGUCAGUCCAUUAAGAGGAGCUAGUAUGGCAAGAUAACUGCGAUGUCUCGCAGUACAAGCCCAGAAGGGCGUUCAGUGGUGCUUAUAAAGGGGGAGUUUUGGAAAACAGUAGGUGGCUUUUCCAAGCUAUGUAAUUAUAAUGAAAGUAACUGCCAGGGGAAACCAUUCAGCAGGAUUCAGAGCAUGCAGAUAUUUGUAUGAACACAAAAACCUUCUACUGCAUUCGCAACGAAAGCCAAGAAAACAUUCUGAAGAUGCUGAAGCACGUGGCUUGGGAUUCAAAGGAGUCUGUAGGGAAUAAGGACUGUGCUUUUCUGUAUCCGCAGUGGUCUUGUGCCUGGUUCAGAGCAGGGGCAGAGGGUGCUGUUGGACCAGAAGGGUUGUGAGCUUUGUCACUCGUCGGGUGAGAAUAUAAAGUCAGAGUGCUCACUGACACUGCUGCGAAGGCAGAAGUUCAAAGGUCCCCCUGCUGUGAGCUGCUCCCCUCAUUAUAAAGCACAGCGUGGGGAGAGCCACGGAGAGUGUGCCACGGAGGAGUGCUAAGGAACACUGGGUGUGCACACAUGGGGCAUGAGAAGCUUGGAACGCACACGUGCUUCAGAAGAGGCUCUGUAUUGGCAACGGCAGGUUGUUCCCUUGACAGUCGAUUGCAGGGACUGCCAGACUGAGAUAUUCUAGGUGUGUGUUUUCUUCACAGGGAGGCUGGAGGACAAAAGCCCGUCGUUGCCAGCAGUAUUGCGCGCUGCUGAAACGUUACACUCUAUUAAUGCUCAUUUGAACGGCCGUUCUUCGUGACUUCCUUCCAACUCCUUUUUUGUUGUUCUCAACUCUUGCGGGCCUGCUGGCGGUGUGUUUACUGAGGACUCACAGAGAAGGACUUGUUCAGAGUCACUUCCUUGUUUGUCAUAGAGAUUCCGCGUGCGUGAGCCCACCUCUUGGUGAGCCGGUCCUACACCUGCCGUUAGGCGGCGUGUUCUGGUACAGGGCUGCCUUCCAUGGCUGUGAGCAGUAGUUGUUUAAACAAAGCAAUUCUUGUUUGGGUUAAAAUAUUUUAGAAUAAUCUAUUUCUAGUGUUUGUUAUUUCUCUUGCUUAUCUGGAGGGAAUACACUUUGUUCAGUAGGUGAACAACCACGGACUUGACUUACUUGAGAAGCAGCUCACAGGCUGUGCUUGCUCUGCGUGCCUAGACGUCUGUCAUCCAAUCUGUCUGUCCAGGAGCAGCUACAGACUUACUGUUCUGACUGCUUGCACUUAGCGAGGGAGCCAGAAUUCAUAUGGUGCUGUGUGCCUCUUCAGACACAAAGGCAAGCGUGAAUUUAAACCAACUGAAGUGUGUGUUUGAUUUAGCACAAAACAUCUCUGAGGAGCCUGCAGCCACGGAACAGUCUGCCAGGGAUGAAAAUACACAUCCUUCAGCAGUCGGUCCAGUUGUAGGGGGUUAAGGUGGUUGUAGGUAGGACACUGGCAAGCCUGUCGUUGCUCUGUGCAAAGAGUUUGAUUUAGAUGGAGGGACUGGGAGUGUUCUCGUUUCUGUACUGGCGUGAAGUUCUUGCACACGUAUCGUAACCCUGUUUCUGUGUGUCUGAAAAUCCCAGUGUAACCCAGUAAAUAGGUAUGUACGUCCCCACUUCUUUCAACCAGGGCUGUAUUAGAGAAGCACGGUGUCCUUGGUGCUGGAGUCAGCCAGAAGCUUCUAGCUGCUGCAGAACACUGUGCUGUUUCUGCACGGUGAUACAGGCUAUUGGAAGCACUCAGUCUUACUUUUUCUACUUGGGAAGGAGUGAAGUUGAGGGUGGCGGUGAGUUCUCCACAUACCACAAGUACACACACACGUAUUUGUUCAGGCAAAUCCGCCAGAGUCUGAAGUGAGCAGUAAGUGGCUGUGUGUGCAGAGGAGCUGAGGGGGUGCCAGCUUUCUGUAGCUGCACCAGAAAGUGACAGAUAAAGAGCUGGCUCCUCUUCCUGUUUCCGUACUGGCUCAGCCUCAGGCAGCUCGUACAGCAGAGUGCACGUGAGGGGUUUACUUUAGCCUUUUACAGCAGAGCUUUCAGGAUUUGAUUGCUUGUGCAGAGGGUCUGUUGCAGAUAUAAUUAAACUGAAGCAGAAGUGCAUGACAACCUGUAUGCAGCCUAGCCAACCCUGUGUGUUUUCCAGGCAAAUCACGCUGUGAAUCACUGAAAACAUGUAAUCUUCUAUUGCAAACUGCUUGCUUACAAGAGUUCUUUUGUUCUGUAGGCUUUGUACUUUUCACUGUUAAUGAUUUUGUCUGUAUGAAAAUGUAAACUUGUGAUGUUUAAUAAAAUAUGUAAGUCAUUAGUUAUUUAGUGUCCAUUUUCAUCUUGUCACUUCAGUCUGGAGAUAAGCAGAAUGCUCACUGCAACUCUGACAGUUCUGAAUAACGUAGCUCUGCUUUGUCAGGUGGAACCCAUCACUUUGGGUUUCCUACUUUUAAAGGAAGUCGGGUUCAACAGUGAGUCUUUGCUUUUGUGAGAUCCAUGGAGCUUGGAGAAAGCUUUGGGGAAAGCUGCCUACUGAAAACCCAUACAUAUCAUUGGGUAGUUGGAACUAACUAGAAUGAAUUCAGUAUUUGGCUGCUCACUGUAGGUGCUUGGAUUUCUCAUUAUUGUUGAAAUCAUCCAGAGAAAGGUCUCUGGCUGGCUGUUAAUUGUUUUCCUUUGGUCAGUUACUGGAGUACCUGGAAUUCAUGUCAUUGCAGUGGGGAGGUUUUACCCGCUCUGCAGGACAGACACCACUCAUUUCAUGCUUAAUAGAUCUGAAAGCUGAAUUAUAUAAUCUUAAGAGGAAAACUUGGUCUCUUCUCCAACCCUUUUUUGGGGCAGGGCAGGAGAGGAGGAAAGGAAAGCAGCCGUGGCAGAGAACACGAGCCGGGUCAUGGUGGCUGCUGUGUUCCCUCGUUUCAACAGGCUGAAUUUCUACCAGCUUCAAAUGCCAUGGAUGUCUCUGAGGUGUAAGAGCACCCAGAUUUUAAACUGAAGCACAGGUAUUUUUUUCUCUGAUUUUUAACAGAAUUGAUUUGAGCUGUCUGUAAUGGAGUAACAGUUGCCCAAGCUCUGAAAGUUCCUAUCCCAUUUGUAUGCUAAUGUCUCUUCAAGUCAGAUUUCUGUUCAGGGCUGGGCAUAAAACAAAGUACUGCAGUCACUCGCUGAGCAAAAAUGACUUAGGAAUAUGUAUUUUCUCAGUUUAACCCUGAGCAAAAUACUUUUGGCAUCGGCACAUUCAUUUACGUGGACUUGUGAGUGCUUUUAAAGUACAGCCUUUUAUAAUUGGGCUCCUGCAGGUUUGGUUAUUUAUGCAAAGCAGAGAGGCGCUUCGUUCUUUCAUAGCUUUGCAAUGGCAAUCUUUAGGAAAUGGGACAAUUGCAGGGAUUUUCUUGCUCCGUGGUAUGAUCUCAGCUCUGCGUGUUCUCCAAACUUCCUCACAUGGCUGUUACAUUAGUUUCUAUCUGUACUGUGCUUCGAAGCCGUAAAGUGUUGUUACUCUUAAUUAGACUGGUAGAGAAUUCUGUAUUUCAAUAUGGAUGUGGAUAGCUCACAAGCACUCUGUUGUCGUUACCCCCUUACUCCAUUGGAUGCCACGAGCUGGGCUUUGCAUCUCGUCCCUGAAGAAGGACAGCAUCCCAGUGCCCGCCCUGGCCCGCUGCCGGUGUACUGAGUGCCGUGGUUCAGCUCUCCAGCUCCUACAGUUCUACUGCCAUUUGGAGGCUGGGACAACAGAAGUACUGCAGGCGUUUCUGAACACCAGCUCACCCCUACAGCUUCUUGGUUGACGGCAGAACUCCUUCAGGCAGUGUGGAAGUGCAGGCUUUUCUUACUCCUGGCAGCCGUUGUGGCUGUUGCUGCCUUGGCCUUCUGAAACAGAGAGAGGAAAGCAGAAAAGGGCUGAAUUGUGCAGGGAGCUUCCAGGUAAGCAGACACAUUCAGAACAUGCUUGUUACUUGUAUGCUGCUCGAGACUUUUAUAAAACACCAAUUUCUAUACUUUUUUUUGCCAGAGAAGGUUUCCAAGCUUUAUUAUUUUUUAAAGCUGUUUUAAUUCCUCUCCCCCACUUGGCUGAAGGUACCUGUGUUGGAUGAGCACAAAGCAGGAGCAGCAGUUCCCUGUGCUGCAGGGGUUGGAGCGUAGACCAGGGACCCUUUGGGUGCUCCGUACCCAUAUGUCCUCCAAUGGGAAGUGUGGGAGAGAUGAUGAGAUCUGGAGGCAGAGGCACUUUCUCCUCCAAACGCAGUGUCCUCUUCAACUGUAAAAUGUAGAAGUUUUUCACCUUUUGAAAUAUGGGAAGUCUUUAAGAAAGAAUGCAAUAGUUGGCCACCAGUGUCUCACAAGUUCCUACAGGUUGUUCAGAUGUAGCCUGGGGCAAAACAUAAGAUUUUUCUCAUUGCAUUUGAAUAAAGCUUUUUCUUUUUCCCUUAGAUCUCAAAUCAGCAGCAAACCCAUUCUUCAAUGAACAAAUGUCCCUUGGUUUGGUGUGUGUUUGCAGGGCUGUGGUAGGUACAGCUGUUACUCUUUAUGAACUUAAGUAAGUGGAGGGAAAGGAAGAAACUAAGCAAAACACAGUGUACAAAACUAGAACAAGUGAACUAGUUUUUGCUUUCUAGUAAAGUUUCCUAGUUUUUGCUUUCUAGUAGUUUCAAAUACAGUCCUCUUCCCACCAGCACGGCCGGGAGUUCAGCACUGAUGGCACAGUGCUCAUCUUCACCAUGCUUCCUUACAUCUUAACAGUGACAGUGCUGAGCACUUAGCACUGCAAAGUGGCAAGGUGAAGUGAAGCAUUUGGAAGUAUGUAUGAAAGAGGGAUGGGAGUUUCUGAGAAGAUAGGACGAGGUUUGUUGGUCCUGUUUGCUGCUUUUCAGGAGAUGACUCCUCCAGUGCACUGCCAUGUGAAUGAAAAGCUGCUCGUACACAAGCCUUAAAGCAAGAACUCGAGGAGCUGCACGCUGCCUUAGCUGUCUAGAAACACUGCUCAAACAACACGAUCUGGGCUGGGCCAUCAUUUAAAGGUGCUUUGAUUUUUCUUGUAAAGCAGUUCCACCAAAUGCACAAGAUGUUAUUUUGAAGUUCAGCUGAUGGUUUGAGAGAAGCAGAUAUUUGAGCACCGCUCUGAAAUAUGUCAACAUUUUGUGUGCUGCUGUUCCCAUGGAAACAGGUAUCAGCUCAGAAAAAUGGCCUCGGGAUUUCAGAAUUAGAUGUAGAAAAUAAAAUCCAGAUAGGUUAGUCAUGCAUAUUGCUACUCAUAAGCUGAUACUGGUGGUGCUAAGCAAUACGCCAUGAACACAUCAGGUGUGGACACACACACUGGCAGGUCAGUGGUUUAUAUUUUUGCUAAGUGAGCCUUUGACUGAAGGAACUUUAUUAGAAAAACACGUAUGUAUGGCAAACAAGUAUACAGAUUGUAAGGUAAAUAGGUAUACAGGUAUAGGACCAGAGAGAUUAUUGUGUUACAAAGGAGUAAUGAAAUAAAGAGCUUACCCAUGUCCUGGGCUCACAGAAGGGCUCCAAGAAGAGUGAUCUCCAGAUAGAGAUCCUUCCUGCUUGGGAGUCAGCCCUUAAAUGGGGUCUCUGUGGGGUGCAGCCAGGAUCCACCCCUUCCGGUCACUCAGGUGAAGUUACGUUCACCUGUGCCCCUGCAGCUGACUCAGUGCCCACCUCAGGUGAUCAAUCAGAGGUUCAGGCCGUGAUUAUACAGUUCCCAUACAAUGCAUUAAUUGCAUUUUUUUUCUAGCCUGUUCUCUUCCACAUACCUGAAAGCAGUCACAUUUUCAUCACUUCUUUAGGCCUCUUCCCUGAAAAAAGGUGGAAGAGGUAUUGGAUGAGAACUACAGAUUUAAGCUAGUUGGCAGACUUUUUUUUUAACAUAAAAUGGCUGAGGAAACACAAACCUGAUCAUAUGGAAUCUUUAGCAGCAUGUAGAAAUGAAGCAGGUGCCAUUCCUUUGAGCUGUUUGCCUCUGGGGAUGUGUGCUUUAGGAAGGGCCGUUGCAGGCGGGGCAGUUAUCCCAGCUGAGCACUGAGCACGGGAUGAGUGCAGGACUCACUGCCAGCAGGGCAGUGUGCAGUGAGCACACCUUUAUGGGGCUGAGGGCAGAGCACCCUGGGAAUUCUUGGAAAAUGAAGUCUCCUCUAAUUGGAGGCUUGCAUCUUCAGCUUAAUGAUUCAGACAUGUCUAUCUAUUUUCUAGCUCAAGCCAUGCUUAGAUGUCUGUCUUUGAUAUGAAUUGGAUGCCCCACAUCCUCUAGAGCAGCGGCUCCCAGCUGGUGUUGGGCAUUGUGUUAAAGGAAAGGCACAGAGCAGGAGUCCCACAGGCCUCAAGGAUGGAAGCGCAGUGCAGAAGCAACGCGCAGGCAGCUGGCCAGAGCAGCUUUUGUUCAACACAACAGCAGAGGCCCUACAGUGAGGGAUUCAAGGAGGAUCUUACAGUAGCCUUGCUAGGAAUCAGCAACGCAUUCUUCACCUGUACUCUUCACAGCUGAAACACAACCAUCUGGUUGGGCUACUAAGUGAUAAAUAAAUAGCCUGCCCAUCAAAACAUCUACUCUUAAGCAUGCAGUUAUUCUGCAGCUCAGCCAGGAAGCACACUGCAGCACAGAGCAGCGGGGCAGUGCGUGCUGAGCAGCCUGCAGCUGAUGCAAAGUGCCCACUCUGGGAGCGCCACAGCUCCACUGCUGCAGGCGCUUCACCUCCACACUGUGGCUGCUGCUUCAUCCCUGGCUGGGAGAGCGAGUGAAGGCGUUCCAUCCUGCACAUCCCAUGUGAUUGCCUCUCCAUACCACUCUCCUACUUCUUGACUUCUAUUCCUGUGACUUUGAGCCUCAUGAAAAACCAAUAAAAACAAACGCUCAAAA